Molecule: ribosomal RNA, 253 nt
Filed under: uncultured bacterium
Lineage: Bacteria
Description: partial 16S ribosomal RNA
Rfam family: Bacterial small subunit ribosomal RNA
Source: RNAcentral
UACAGAGGUCUCGAGCGUUAAUCGGAGUCACUGGGCUUAAAGGGUGCGUAGGCGGACUCGCAAGUGCUUUGUGAAAUCCCACGGCUCAACCGUGGAAUGGCUUGGCAGACUGCGGGUCUUGAGGUCGGUAGGGGUCGCCGGAACUCUAGGUGGAGCGGUGAAAUGCGUAGAUAUCUAGAGGAACGCCAAAGGUGAAGACAGGCGACUGGGCCGAUUCUGACGCUGAGGCACGAAAGCGUGGGUAGCGAACGGG